CCUACGGGAGGCAGCAGUGAGGAAUAUUGGUCAAUGGGCGGGAGCCUGAACCAGCCAAGUCGCGUGAGGGAAGACGGUCCUAUGGAUUGUAAACCUCUUUAGGCGGGGAGCAAUGCCGGGCACGCGUGCCCGGAGGGAGAGUACCCGCAGAAUAAGCAUCGGCUAACUCCGUGCCAGCCGCCGCGGUAAUACGGGGGAUGCGAGCGUUAUCCGGAUUUAUUGGGUUUAAAGGGUGCGUAGGCGGAGUUUUAAGUCAGCGGUAAAAUGUCCGGGCUCAACCCGGGCCGGCCGUUGAAACUGGGGAUCUUGAGUGGGCGAGAAGUAUGCGGAAUGCGUGGUGUAGCGGUGAAAUGCAUAGAUAUCACGCAGAACUCCGAUUGCGAAGGCAGCAUACCGGCGCCCGACUGACGCUGAGGCACGAAAGCGUGGGGAUCGAACAGGAUUAGAUACCCGUGUAGUC
RNAcentral lists this ribosomal RNA (460 nucleotides) under uncultured bacterium. RNAcentral describes it as "partial 16S ribosomal RNA". It matches the Rfam family "Bacterial small subunit ribosomal RNA", at positions 338 to 795 of the family's 1533-position model. The record is from RNAcentral.